AGCGAGAAGACCCGCAAGGGUUUGUAAAGCGGCGGACGGGAGAGUAACGCGUAGGUAAUCUACCUUCUAGUGGGGAAUAACGUACCGAAAGGAACGCUAAUACCGCAUGUGGAUCCCGGUUUAUUUCCGGUAUCUAAAGGGGGCUCUCGAAAGAGGCUUUCGCUAGUAGAUGAGCCUGCGUCCCAUUAGCUAGUUGGUGAGGUAAUGGCUCACCAAGGCAACGAUGGGUAGCUGGUCUGAGAGGACGACCAGCCACACUGGAACUGACACACGGUCCAGACUCCUACGGGAGGCAGCAGUGGGGAAUAUUGCGCAAUGGAGGAAACUCUGACGCAGCGACGCCGCGUGGGUGAUGAAGGCCUUCGGGUUGUAAAGCCCUGUCGGCUGGGAAAAAGGUAGUCGUGCUAAUACCACGAUUGCUUGAUGGUACCAGCAAAGGAAGCACCGGCUAACUCUGUGC
RNAcentral lists this ribosomal RNA (460 nucleotides) under uncultured bacterium. RNAcentral's name for it is "partial 16S ribosomal RNA". It matches the Rfam family "Bacterial small subunit ribosomal RNA", at positions 65 to 508 of the family's 1533-position model. The record is from RNAcentral.